This 405-nucleotide ribosomal RNA is filed under the name uncultured bacterium. RNAcentral's name for it is "partial 16S ribosomal RNA". It matches the Rfam family "Bacterial small subunit ribosomal RNA", at positions 28 to 526 of the family's 1533-position model. The record is from RNAcentral.
GACGAACGCUGGCGGCGUGCUUAACACAUGCAAGUCGAGCGGAGCGGCGGACGGGUGAGUAACGCGUGUGUAACUGCCCCCCUCUCUGGGAUAACAGUUGGAAACGGCUGCUUAUACCGGAUAGUGGGGGAUGACUCGCGUCCUAUCAGCUUGUUGGUGGGGUAGUGGCCUACCACGGCGACGACGGGUAGCCGGCCUGAGAGGGCGACCGGCCACAGGGGGCUGAGAUAGGGCCGAAAGUCGUACGGGAGGCAGCAGGGGGGAAUAUGGCACAGUGGGGGAGACCCUGAGGCGGCAGCGCCGGGUGCGGAAUGACGGCCUUGGGGUUGGAAACCGCUUUCGGCCAUGACGCGGUAGUGGCAGAAGAAGCACCGGCUAACUACGUGCCAGCAGCCGCGGUAAUAC